Molecule: ribosomal RNA, 253 nt
Filed under: uncultured bacterium
Lineage: Bacteria
Description: partial 16S ribosomal RNA
Rfam family: Bacterial small subunit ribosomal RNA
Source: RNAcentral
UACGUAGGGUGCAAGCGUUGCCCGGAUUUAUUGGGCGUAAAGGGCGCGCAGGCGGCUACGCACGUCCGUUGUGAAAUCGCUCGGCUCAACUGGGCGGGGUCGGCGGAUACGGCGUAGCUGGAGCAAGCUAGGGGGCAAUGGAAUUCCCGGUGUAGUGGUGAAAUGCGUAGAUAUCGGGAGGAACACCUGUGGCGAAAGCGGCUCACUGGACAGUAACUGACGCUGAUGCACGAAAGCUAGGGGAGCAAACAGG